AUGGGCGCCGCUGGCACGAUGGUGUGCCUGCUCGGUAUGGCCAUUAAGAGCGACUUCGGGGUGCUGCGGAGCGAGGCGGCGACGUUCGGGCUCGGCGAGACCAACUACUACCUGGUGCUCGUGUGGGACGCCGUGUCGUGGCAGCUGCUCAACCUGGGCAUCAUGGGGCUCAUCACCUGCGCCUCCUCGCUCCUCGCCGGCAUCAUGAUCGCCGUCCUCCUGCCGCUCUCCGAGAUCCUCGCCGUCCUCUUCCUCCACGAGAAGUUCGACGGGCCAAAGGGCAUCGCGCUCGUGCUGUCCCUAUGGGGCUUCGCCUCCUACAUGUACGGCGAAAAGGUCCAGCAGAAGAAGGCGGCGGCGCAGAAGAACCAGCUGCUGCAGCAGCAGAUGGCGAGGAAAACCGGAGACCUGGAGCUGGCUACCCCUUGA
RNAcentral lists this ribosomal RNA (429 nucleotides) under Triticum aestivum (bread wheat). RNAcentral's name for it is "partial small subunit ribosomal RNA". The record is from RNAcentral. Lineage: Eukaryota; Viridiplantae; Streptophyta; Magnoliopsida; Poales; Poaceae.